Phragmites australis (common reed) is the source of this 397-nucleotide long non-coding RNA. RefSeq lists it as uncharacterized. The transcript is spliced from 2 exons. NCBI's taxonomy places the organism in Eukaryota, Viridiplantae, Streptophyta, Magnoliopsida, Poales, Poaceae. The record is from RefSeq and is a predicted model, not a curated record.
GAGGACUCUGAGGCAGAAGGAGAGAACAUCUCCUUCUAUUACCAAAGAUUUUUCUCUGCUAUUGACCGCAAAGGAUGCAAAGAAUGUGAUGUGUUUUGAGGGAUGAAUGUUGCAACUAAAUAGGGGAUGAGUUCUUAACGCCGAGAACUUCGUGCGAUGCACAUCGCAAAUCAAGCAGCACAACCGAAGCAUGUGAUAUGUACGGAUGUCACUAACACAGUUAAAGAGAUCCUGACUUUGGAAUGGAUUUGUGGUAUUUUCAUUUUGGAGGAUGGAUUCUGAAUGUGCAAUUCUUUUCUCCUUAGGAAACAUUCAAGUACAACUGAAGAUGUUGGGCAAAAUGCCACUAUGUAGGUAUUUACUAGAUGAUUAUCUAUGACAUCUUUUUCUUUUAAAA